Molecule: ribosomal RNA, 329 nt
Filed under: uncultured bacterium
Lineage: Bacteria
Description: bacterial SSU rRNA
Rfam family: Bacterial small subunit ribosomal RNA
Source: RNAcentral
AGCUCGUGUGCGUGAGAUGUGUGGGUGUAAGUGCCCGCAACGAGACCGCAACCCCUAUGCUUCAGUUGCCAUCAUUUGGUUGGGCACUCUGAAGAAACUGCCGGUGACAAGCCGGAGGAAGGCGGGGAUGACGUCAAGUCCUCAUGGCCCUUACGGGUUGGGCUACACACGUGCUACAAUGGUGGUGACAAUGGGGAGCGAGGCCGCGAGGCCAAGCCAAUCUCAAAAAGCCAUCUCAGUUCGGAUUGCACUCUGCAACUCGAGUGCAUGAAGUUGGAAUCGUCUAGUAAUCGCGCAUCAGCAUGGCGCGGUGACAUACGUUCCCGGGC